Molecule: ribosomal RNA, 439 nt
Filed under: uncultured Eubacteriales bacterium
Lineage: Bacteria; Bacillati; Bacillota; Clostridia; Eubacteriales
Description: bacterial SSU rRNA
Rfam family: Bacterial small subunit ribosomal RNA
Source: RNAcentral
CCUACGUGAGGCUGCAGUCGGGAAUAUUGCACAAUGGAGGAAACUCUGAUGCAGUGACACCGCGUAUAGGAAGAAGGUCUUAGGAUUGUAAGCUAUUGUCGUGUGAGAAGAAAAUGACUAUCACAGGAGGAAGCCCUGGCUAAAUAGGUGCCAGCAGCCGCGGUAAGACAUAUGGGGCGAGCGUUAUCCGGAUUUAUUGGGUGUAAAGGGUGCGUAGGCGGGAUAGCAAGUCAGUCUGUGAAAUCCCACGGCUCAACCGUGGAACUGCAACUGAAACUGUUAUUCUUGAGUAUCGGAGGGGAAAGGGGAAUUCCUAGUGUAGCGGUGAAAUGCGUAGAUAUUAGGAGGAACACCGGUGGCGAAGGCGACUUUCUGGACGAUAACUGACGCUGAGGCACGAAAGUGUGGGUAGCAAACAGGAUUAGAUACCCUGGUAGUC